Molecule: ribosomal RNA, 1223 nt
Filed under: Lagria hirta
Lineage: Eukaryota; Metazoa; Arthropoda; Insecta; Coleoptera; Tenebrionidae
Description: SSU rRNA
Rfam family: Eukaryotic small subunit ribosomal RNA
Source: RNAcentral
UUGUCUCAAAGAUUAAGCCAUGCAUGUCUCAGUACAAGCCAAAUUAAGGUGAAACCGCGAAAGGCUCAUUAAAUCAGUUAUGGUUCCUUAGAUCGUACCCACAUUUACUUGGAUAACUGUGGUAAUUCUAGAGCUAAUACAUGCAAACAGAGCUCCAACCGGAGACGGAAGGAGCGCUUUUAUUAGAUCAAAACCAAUCGGUGUUGAUUUUACAAUCUUCAUCGUAUCAUUUGGUGACUCUGAAUAACUUUAAGCUGAUCGCACGGUCUUGCACCGGCGACGCAUCUUUCAAAUGUCUGCCUUAUCAACUGUCGAUGGUAGGUUCUGCGCCUACCAUGGUUGUAACGGGUAACGGGGAAUCAGGGUUCGAUUCCGGAGAGGGAGCCUGAGAAACGGCUACCACAUCCAAGGAAGGCAGCAGGCGCGCAAAUUACCCACUCCCGGCACGGGGAGGUAGUGACGAAAAAUAACGAUACGGGACUCAUCCGAGGCCCCGUAAUCGGAAUGAGUACACUCUAAACCCUUUAACGAGGAUCAAUUGGAGGGCAAGUCUGGUGCCAGCAGCCGCGGUAAUUCCAGCUCCAAUAGCGUAUAUUAAAGUUGUUGCGGUUAAAAAGCUCGUAGUCGAAUCUGUGUUUCGCGCCGACGGUUCAUCGUUCGCGGUGUUAACUGUCGUGCCGCGGAACGUCCUGCCGGUGGGCUUAGCUCGCAAGGGCGGCCCAACUCAAUCCCGCCGCGGUGCUCUUCAUUGAGUGUCGAGGUGGGCCGGCACGUUUACUUUGAACAAAUUAGAGUGCUUAAAGCAGGCUAAAAUUUUGCCUGAAUACUGUGUGCAUGGAAUAAUGGAAUAGGACCUCGGUUCUAUUUUGUUGGUUUUCGGAACCCCGAGGUAAUGAUUAAUAGGAACGGAUGGGGGCAUUCGUAUUGCGACGUUAGAGGUGAAAUUCUUGGAUCGUCGCAAGACGGACAGAAGCGAAAGCAUUUGCCAAAAACGCUUUCAUUGAUCAAGAACGAAAGUUAGAGGUUCGAAGGCGAUCAGAUACCGCCCUAGUUCUAACCAUAAACGAUGCCAGCUAGCGAUCCGCCGACGUUCCUCCGAUGACUCGGCGGGCAGCUUCCGGGAAACCAAAGCUUUUGGGUUCCGGGGGAAGUAUGGUUGCAAAGCUGAAACUUAAAGGAAUUGACGGAAGGGCACCACCAGGAGUGGAGCCUGCGGCUUAAUU